Molecule: RNA transcript, 3386 nt
Organism: Juglans microcarpa x Juglans regia
Lineage: Eukaryota; Viridiplantae; Streptophyta; Magnoliopsida; Fagales; Juglandaceae
Gene name: pre-mRNA-splicing factor CWC25 homolog
Exons: 7
Source: RefSeq, a predicted model, not a curated record
UUUCCUCUGUCUGUUGAUACGCAGCGAGAGAAAAAGGGGAUUGGAUUGAGAGGGAAAAUAUUGAGAAGAAAGAAAGAAAGCAAGUAAGAGGGGAGGGAGCAUGGCAUUGAAAUUCUUGAACAAGAAGGGAUGGCACACGGGCAGCCUCAGGAACAUUGAGAACGUGUGGAAGGCCGAGCAAAAGCAUGGCGCCGAGCAGAAGAAAUUGGAUGAGCUCCGCAAGCAGAUCCAGGAGGAGAGGGAACGCUCCGAGUUUCGUCUCCUUCAGGAGCAGGCCGGCCUCGUUCCUAAGCAGGAGAGAUUGGAAUUUCUGUACGAUUCGGGAUUAGCUGUGGGUAAGGGUAGUAAUUCCGAUGGAUUCAAGGCCCUCGAAGCAUUCCCCAAGGCUGGCACUGCCGCGGAAGCCUCCGACACUGCCAAGGCAUCGUCUUCGUCUUCGGCCGUGCCGGGUGCUUUGUUCGAAGAGAAGCCUCACUCUGCUAACGAUGCCUGGAGGAAACUCCAUACCGAUCCUUUGCUCAUGAUUCGACAGCGUGAGCAAGAAGCCCUUUCCCGCAUCAAGAACAACCCCGUCCAGAUGGCCAACAUUCGCAAAUCCGUUGAAGAACAAAAACACAAGAAGAAGGCACAUAGUGAAAAGGAACCCCAGAAGAAGCAUCAUCAUAGCAGUUCAAAGAAUAAAAAGCAUUCAUCCUCUAGACAACGAUCUGAUUCGGAAAAUGAUGCUGCUGAAAGGGGGAAAGCGAAGACUAGCAGACACAAGAACUCAAACUCUGAUUUGCAUUCAGUUUCUGAAGAUGAAUCUAGUAAAAGAGAGAGCCAAAGUAAGAAGGAUCGCCACAAGGGCUCAAAAUACAAAGAGUCAUCAUCCAGUGGCUUGUCAGGCCCAAAUACUGCAAACAAUAAUGGUCGAGAUGCUAACAAGAGGAAUCGUGACAAGUCGGAGCAAGAAAAAUUUUCUUCUGAAGGUCAGAGAAAUCUUGAUGUUGCAGAAAGGGGAAGGGAAAGCAGAAGGUAUCAUGAAGCAAGCCGUCAUGAUGGGACUGAGUCACACUACAAGCGCCGCAAUGUUGUUCCCAAGCUUUCAGAAGAAGAGCGGGCUGCUAGGCUGCGGGAGAUGCAAGUGGAUGCUGAAUUGCAUGAGGAACAAAGAUGGAAACGUUUGAGGAAGGCUGAGGAGGAUGAUGCACGAGAAGCUACCCGGGCUAGCACAUCUGGUGGCAGAAAUUUCUUGGAUGCUGCUCAGAAAAGUAUCUAUGGUGCUGAGAAAGGGGGAAGCUCAACAAUUGAGGAGAGUGUCCGUCGCCGAACACAUUACUCACAGGGUAGGUCUGAGGCACAUGAAAGAAAUGCUUUCCGGCGGUGAGGCAGUCGGGCAGUUGAUUGCUUCCUAUCCUGAUGAUUUUAGCUGGUACACAUCUUUGACUUUUAAGACAUGCAGCAACGAACUUUAGAAAAGAGCAAAAGUCAAUGAUUAAUUAGAUGCCUGGUUUUAGGUGAUAGAAUUUUCAAAGUUUGUUGUUGUAUUCUGUCUGGGUCAGUCUCAGAUGCCUUUAAUAUAAACAAUUCUUUUUCCCCAAUGUCCUCCUUUGACUAAAGCCAGCCAGCCAGCCAACCAGCCUGCCGCAGAACCACGAAGCUACGGUGAUACGAGACUUCCCAUAUUUUUCUUCGAAAGUAAGCUAACAUCAAGGAUUCAGUACUCUACAUAUGUCUAACAGUCAAAACAGAGCUGACCAAGCUUUGCAGAAGUUCAGAGGGAGAGGAGGUUGGAGGCGAGCAAGAGAAUUUUGACCUACAACAAGUAGGAGUUCUAAUAGUCGAUCGAUUGGAGCAAACCUUUUAACAACAGAGGUUUCCGUCAUAUUUUCAACAGGUUGGUUUGAGAUUUUUUUCGUUUGGGUUUCUGUUAUCAAAAUCUGCAGAGCAGAAUCAAUUGUUUCUGGGUCAUAUUCAGGGCUCUGCCUUUCAAAAUGGGAUGCAUUUCUUCAAAAUUCGUGACCAGAUCAACCAGUUUUCAUGAAGGGAAAAAUCAAAGUUUGCAGAGAGCCAAUGGCAUUCCUGUGCUGGAGGAACCAAACAUGUCCUCUAGUGGCAGCGACCACUAUCUUGCUCUUGUCAGCACUGCUAACAUGGUAGCCAAAAAACUCCAAUCUUGGGAUUCCAAUUCAAACACAUGUUCCAAACGAGACACUGAACCUGCUAGAAUUGAGACUGAUAACAAAUGGGAGUUGAUAGCAAGUUUAGAUCAAGGAGUAGUAGAGCAUGCCCAGCCAGCUCCAAAAGUAAUGGGAUCCAUUGAUACUGAUUUCAGAAGGCGGUCUAGAAGUUGUCAUUGGUCUCCAGAGCAUCGAGUGUCUUCCUUUGCUGUGGAGGUUACUGAGGGGAUUAAGGAAGAUAAAUCUUAUAGGCGUUAUAAGGGCAUGGCACGCAGCAGGAGUAUACACACAGUAGAAGAAUAUGAUGCAAUGUUAGAAAAUAUACGAUCUGGUGUGCAGCAAAGAUGGCUCAAUGGCAAGGAUUACGGUUCCAACAUGCAGCAGGAGUAUACCAACACGAAACCUCUUGGUUCCAAAACCUCAUCAAAGAAAUCUUACUAUGCCGAGGACAAAGAAGAGUCUGGUUUGCAGGAAAUGAAACAAUUGUGCUUAAAGGAUGAAGCUUUGGUACUUGAGUACACUACUGAAGACUUAAUGAGAUUGAGAUCAGAAGUAGAAACCAAGGUGGCAAUAACAAGUCCUAACAGCAACAGCUCAAGUUCAGGUCAAGAAAACCGAGAAGUGAUCCCAUCUCCUUGUAGCUCCAGCUCAACCAAGGAAUCACAUUUGUUUGAGGGUGCUGGUCAAGAAGGACGCAUGUUUGGGAAGGGAUUUAAAAGAGAGGAAAUAUCCGAGGAGCUAGAAUCACUGAGAAUCCCACCAAACUUUGAACUCCCAACAAUAUUAAGUCUUAGGGAAUGGCUUCAUGUUGGGGGUCAAGUCUACUCUCCUGGAUCUCAUGCCACUCCGAAGUUUGGUAGUUAUUCUUUACCAAUUCGUGGUACUGUAAGUGAAUGCAGUGAAGACUUCAUCUUCAAUCCAGAAUUGGUGGCUGCCUAUGAGCAAUGUAUGCACCAACUUGAAGCAGAAGAAGAAAGCGUUAUCCUGCAAAUUGUGGAGGGUUCUGAAGAAGAAUGUACUAAAGAUAAGCAUGUCAAAGUCAAUCCCGCAGAGAAAAUCAAGAGCAUGUAGUUCACAAUCCUCCCAUUAGGAGAUACAGCAAAGCAAUAUUAAAUAAACAAAUGUAGUGGUAAAUACAUAAUUGUCCUGUCAGGAAGGGAAUAAAACAUAUAUAUAUUUACAAAGAUUCAAGCAAUUCAAGUUAUAUCUAUCCCAUUUGAGUUUGAA